GAUCAUGGCUCAGGAUGAACGCUAGCGGCAGGCCUAAUACAUGCAAGUCGGACGGGGUCCAUCGGAGAGCUUGCUCGAAGAUGGUGAGAGUGGCGCACGGGUGCGUAACGCGUGAGCAACCUACCUCUAUCAGGGGGAUAGCCUCUCGAAAGAGAGAUUAACACCGCAUAACAUCAACAGUUCGCAUGUUCGGUUGAUUAAAUAUUUAUAGGAUAGAGAUGGG
RNAcentral lists this ribosomal RNA (223 nucleotides) under uncultured bacterium. Its description in RNAcentral is "partial 16S ribosomal RNA". It matches the Rfam family "Bacterial small subunit ribosomal RNA", at positions 15 to 229 of the family's 1533-position model. The record is from RNAcentral.